Molecule: RNA transcript, 2619 nt
Organism: Corvus hawaiiensis (hawaiian crow)
Lineage: Eukaryota; Metazoa; Chordata; Aves; Passeriformes; Corvidae
Gene: AP1S2
Gene name: adaptor related protein complex 1 subunit sigma 2
Exons: 7
Source: RefSeq, a predicted model, not a curated record
GCUCCCGUCCCCUCCCGACCCCUCCCUCCCUCAGUCCCGCUCAGCGGCCGCGGCGGCAGCACCGGGGGUGCUGGUCUGGGCUGAGCUGCCUCCUUCUCCUCCUCCGCCUCAGCUCCGCCGUCCCCUGGGCACGAUGCAGUUUAUGUUGCUUUUUAGUCGCCAGGGGAAACUGAGACUCCAGAAGUGGUAUGUCCCAUUAUCUGACAAAGAAAAGAAGAAAAUCACAAGGGAACUUGUUCAAACAGUAUUAGCCCGCAAACCGAAAAUGUGCAGCUUCCUGGAAUGGAGAGACCUGAAGAUUGUCUACAAAAGAUAUGCAAGCCUGUAUUUCUGCUGUGCUAUUGAAGAUCAGGACAAUGAACUAAUAACUCUGGAAAUAAUUCAUCGCUAUGUAGAACUUCUUGACAAGUAUUUUGGCAGUGUAUGUGAACUUGAUAUCAUCUUCAAUUUUGAAAAAGCCUAUUUCAUUCUGGAUGAGUUCCUUUUAGGAGGGGAAGUUCAGGAGACUUCCAAGAAAAAUGUCCUUAAAGCCAUCGAACAAGCAGAUCUUUUACAGGAGAGCCAGAAUGAAGACUGGGGAGGUUUGUCUGAGGAUAUCUUAUGAUUAAGAGCAAUCUAAGGCAUUAGCCCUUUUGACCCAUCUAAAUGAUUGGAUGCUAAAGAAGCAGAGACCCCACGUAGUGUACUUGAAGAAAUUGGAUUGACAUAAAUCUUCUCUUCAGCUGAUACCAUCUCAGUGUUUCAUACUGUAAAUGUUCACUGCCUUCAUUGUAAUGUUUAGCUAAUGGUGUAAGAUGCUGUUUGUCAGUAUUACUGUUUUGCUAAGCUGCUUCAUUCAGGCCUACAAGAAGAAUACUUUUUUUUGAAAAGGGAACAAGAAACCUAAGUUCAGAAUUUAUAAGUGAAAGGGAAUUAGAUUUAAAUUGACUCAGUGUUUCCCUUCACUGCAUUUAUAGGAAAAUUGCAUUUGACUUCGGUAAGUCUACUGUUUUUUAUAAGUAAACUUGACUUCAGGAAAUAAAUGUAUUACUAUGACAUAAGCAUAGUCUAUCUAAAUGAAAAGAAACUACAUGGACAACUCCAAAUAUGAAACAUUACAGUGUAGAAAUUGUUCAUGCAACCAAAGAAUUUGUUCAUCUACAUUUUAGUCACCACUUGUGAUUAUUCUGCUUAUUUCAGUUGUAGCAUAAGGAUUGGAAAUACCUGUUUACUACUGAAUUUGUCAUUAUACCAAAGAAUCCUGCCAGGAUCUGCAUAUCAAACUGGUAAAAACUGUUAAGGUGAUAACUGCUUUUUAAAGAAAACUGAUCAACUCACUAGACGUGAAGGUGUAUUUUAGUGUAGCUACCUUGAGCAAAACUGUGCAAGUUACUAUACUCAAAAGGGAAUGCAUGUAGGGGAAAAGGAAAACCAACCCAGACUGAAUAAGGAGACUGUUUUUAGGUCUGAUAUUAGCUUGCUUAGACUAUGAACACCUUAAAGGAUGUCAGCUUUCUAACUGAAUAGAGAGAGGCAUAAUGAAAAUUGAAUACUUUCAGAGAUGAGAAAGAAGAAGAUUUACAGAAGGAACCUUUUAUUAUUUUCUUUCAAAGUCUACCAAUUAAUUUGUAUGCAUUGGUGUUUUAUAGUUAUGCUUUAUUGGGUGUAUAGGUACCUUUAGGACACAUCAAGUGUCAAAGUCAUUUAACUGCUUUUCUUGAUCAACACGUUAAAUAUGUGCCACAUUCCUUACAAAACUCCUGCGUGAUGUACAGUUGAACCAGCUAAUUUGCAGUGAGAGCUCUUAAACAUUAGAUUUGCAUAGUAUAUUCACUACAAAUCAUGUAAAUUGAUAUCCAAUAUAUUUUGACACUUCUGAGCAGACUUUCAGUAAUUACAAACUAAGCCUGUUUCACUUGUGGAAAUAUGAUCCAUAUGUGGUGUUGAGGAGACAGUGGGAGUCUAGGCCUGGGAGUAGCCAAGUUCUGUUGCCUGUCCCCAUGGAGGGGUUGCCGUCCCUGCCCUCCCGUCCCAGAUCCCUCUCUCUAGGAGUUUUGGCUUGCUCACCUGAGUAGUGCCAUGUUUUCACCAAGUUUAGCACUGGCAGUGGUCACUGGCACUUCUGUGGCCAGCUGGAGAGCCAAUUGAGUAGCACCCAGCCAAAGGAAGAGUGCGGUGUUGCCACUUCUAAGACCCCUGAUCCAGAUGCAGCAUCAGUACUUGUGCCAGCAGAACGGCCAGCCAGGGCCAGGCUCUGUGUGCCACUCCUGUGGCAGUGCCAGGGCCGUACCUGUGAACUCAAGCCAUUAGAACUUGUCCAGGGAUGCCCACUGCGGGAUUUGCACACAGAUGCCAGAUGACCAGAGACCAUUUUUGUCCCAGGGCAUUUCCCCAGUGCACAGCGGGCAGGGAUAGGUGAGGGUAGAGGGGUAGCAAAAGGACCCUGUGUGUGAGAUUAAAGUGGUAAAAUGGAUUUAAGUCAAACCAGAAGCAAUUUUAUAUGUAUUAAACACGUUUUUAAAGUUUACACUGUCACUUGUAUGUGCUUGGCUGGAUUAAGCUUCGUUGUGAUUGUGACAAACUGUUUGACCUCUGUCUGUCACAUUGGUUUAGUUGUAAUAAAUGUCCAUUUUUACACCA